GUAAAUAAGCAGGGGAGCUUGUACUGGCAGGCUGAGAGGAAGUAAUUAACUUCGACCCUUAUACCUGAUUUGGAUAAUGCCAACGUAGGAAUGUGAACGUAUGUGGAUA
This is a non-coding RNA of Blautia sp. CAG:237, 109 nucleotides long. The record is from Rfam. Lineage: Bacteria; Bacillati; Bacillota; Clostridia; Lachnospirales; Lachnospiraceae.